RNAcentral lists this long non-coding RNA (366 nucleotides) under Mytilus galloprovincialis (Mediterranean mussel). The record is from RNAcentral. Lineage: Eukaryota; Metazoa; Mollusca; Bivalvia; Mytilida; Mytilidae.
CUUGAUUGGUAGAAAAAUUUGAAAACCGGAUUACUCAAAAACCGUUCGUUGUAAAUACACAAUUUUUUCACAGAGUUAUGUUUGAUUAUAAUAUUUUUAAAAUUCAUUGAUAUUUUUCACUUGUAUCACAUGAUUUGGAAAUAAUUCAAGAACGAGAUUUCAACGAGACUGAAAAGUCAGAAGAAUACAUCCUUAAUGUUGUCCCUAAAACCUGAAAGUCUUAAAUUACAAUGAAUCUAUGUUUUUGCUUUGAGACCAGAAUAUUGUCGAAAAAUUAGCUAAAAAUCAAUUGCCUUUCAAUGUAAGUAAAAGUCGGGAUAUGCGCAGAAUGCACGAUUUUGCGUUAAUUUUCUCAGAGCUUCUGGG